Molecule: long non-coding RNA, 567 nt
Filed under: Cyanistes caeruleus (blue tit)
Lineage: Eukaryota; Metazoa; Chordata; Aves; Passeriformes; Paridae
Description: lncRNA (ENSCCEG00000019307.1)
Source: RNAcentral
GGAAAGUUUCUUAUACAUUAAUAUUGUAUAUGGUUCAUGGUUAUGUAGUUUGGAAGAACAUAAUUGAUGUUGCUCCUGUCAACAGGCCUUGGAAACUGUCUCAAUAAGGAUGUGGACAAUAAAAGGUUCAGCGGUUCCAGCAGAGAAGCAGAUCCUACAGGGACCCUGAGCAGGGCUGCAGCUAAGUGCCAAGCCUUUGCCCAAAGGAUAGUGAAGUGUUCUUUUGAUCCAAUUUCUGCAUGAACUUAGAAGAAAAUGGACAUGUGAUUGACUUAGUGGGUUUCCUGUCAUCCACUGUGGGAUUCGCCUCCUUGUCUUUUCCUGAAUCUUUGAUGUAAAUAACAUAAGGUAGUUUAAAUCUCUGGUUUUACAAAUGGAUUUUGAAACUUGAUUUCUAAUGGCAAAAUGAAGCCACGUAGCAUGAAAAUAUGGAUCCAUUUCACAUACACAUUUUAAGAAAAUGAAAUGUUUCAUUUGUGCAAAUAGCAAUUUGGAGUACUUCACAUGAUUUUAAAUGCAUUUGUGUUUAAUUUUUUUAAUCUAUCAAUAAAAAAGUUGUUUGAAACA